ACGAACGCUGGCGGCGUGCCUAAUACAUGCAAGUUGAGCGAUGAAGAUUGGUGCUUGCACCAAUUUGACGAGCAGCGAACGGGUGAGUAACGCGUGGGGAAUCUGCCUUUGAGCGGGGGACAACAUUUGGAAACGAAUGCUAAUACCGCAUAACAACUUUAAACAUAAGUUUUAAGUUUGAAAGAUGCAAUUGCAUCACUCAAAGAUGAUCCCGCGUUGUAUUAGCUAGUUGGUGAGGUAAAGGCUCACCAAGGCGAUGAUACAUAGCCGACCUGAGAGGGUGAUCGGCCACAUUGGGACUGAGACACGGCCCAAACUCCUACGGGAGGCAGCAGUAGGGAAUCUUCGGCAAUGGACGAAAGUCUGACCGAGCAACGCCGCGUGAGUGAAGAAGGGUUUCGGAUCGUAAAACUCUGUUGGUAGAGAAGAACGUUGGUGAGAGUGGAAAGCUCAUCAAGUGACGGUAACUACCCAGAAAGGGACGGCUAACUACGUG
This 496-nucleotide ribosomal RNA is filed under the name uncultured bacterium. RNAcentral's name for it is "partial 16S ribosomal RNA". It matches the Rfam family "Bacterial small subunit ribosomal RNA", at positions 29 to 507 of the family's 1533-position model. The record is from RNAcentral.